Molecule: transfer RNA, 65 nt
Filed under: Omosita colon
Lineage: Eukaryota; Metazoa; Arthropoda; Insecta; Coleoptera; Nitidulidae
Description: tRNA-Thr
Rfam family: tRNA
About the family: Transfer RNA (tRNA) molecules are approximately 80 nucleotides in length. Their secondary structure includes four short double-helical elements and three loops (D, anti-codon, and T loops).
Source: RNAcentral
GUUUUUAUAGUUUAAAAAAAAUUUUGGUCUUGUAAAUCAAAGAUAUGAAUAAUUUAUUAAAAACA